RNAcentral lists this non-coding RNA (30 nucleotides) under Rattus norvegicus (Norway rat). The record is from RNAcentral. Lineage: Eukaryota; Metazoa; Chordata; Mammalia; Rodentia; Muridae.
UGGGACCUUUCGAUUUGUAGAGGAGAGCCC